UACGUAGGGUGCGAGCGUUAAUCGGAAUUACUGGGCGUAAAGCGUGCGCAGGCGGUUUUGUAAGUCUGACGUGAAAUCCCCGGGCUUAACCUGGGAAUUGCGUUGGAGACUGCAAGGCUGGAGUCUGGCAGAGGGGGGGUAGAAUUCCGACGUGUAGCAGUGAAAUGCGUAGAGAUGUGGAGGAACACCGAUGGCGAAGGCAGCCCCCUGGGUCAAGACUGACGCUCAUGCACGAAAGCGUGGGGAGCAAACAGGG
RNAcentral lists this ribosomal RNA (256 nucleotides) under uncultured bacterium. RNAcentral's name for it is "partial 16S ribosomal RNA". It matches the Rfam family "Bacterial small subunit ribosomal RNA", at positions 524 to 777 of the family's 1533-position model. The record is from RNAcentral.